Molecule: ribosomal RNA, 879 nt
Filed under: Annulusmagnus triseptatus
Lineage: Eukaryota; Fungi; Ascomycota; Sordariomycetes; Annulatascales; Annulatascaceae
Description: partial large subunit ribosomal RNA
Rfam family: Eukaryotic large subunit ribosomal RNA
Source: RNAcentral
AGUGAAGCGGCAACAGCUCAAAUUUGAAAUCUGGCCUCGGCCCGAGUUGUAAUUUGUAGAGGAUGCUUUUGGCGCGGCGCCUUCCGAGUUCCCUGGAACGGGACGCCAGAGAGGGUGAGAGCCCCGUACGGUUGGAUGCCAAGCCUCUGUAAAGCUCCUUCGACGAGUCGAGUAGUUUGGGAAUGCUGCUCAAAAUGGGAGGUAAAUGCCUUCUAAAGCUAAAUACUGGCCAGAGACCGAUAGCGCACAAGUAGAGUGAUCGAAAGAUGAAAAGCACUUUGAAAAGAGGGUUAAAUAGCACGUGAAAUUGUUGAAAGGGAAGCGCUCAUGACCAGACGUGUGCCUCGUGAAUCAUCCGGCGUUCUCGCCGGUGCACUUCGCCUGGCACAGGCCAGCAUCGGUUUUCCCAGGGGGAUAAAAGCCGCGGGAACGUAGCUCUUCCGGGAGUGUUAUAGCCCGUGGCACAAUGCCCUUGGGGGGACCGAGGCCCGCGCUCCGCAAGGAUGCUGGCGUAAUGGUCAUCAGCGACCCGUCUUGAAACACGGACCAAGGAGUCAAGCAUUAGGGCGAGUGUUUGGGUGUCAAACCCGCACGCGAAAUGAAAGUGAACGCAGGUGAGAGCUUCGGCGCAUCAUCGACCGAUCCUGAUGUAUUCGGAUGGAUUUGAGUAAGAGCCUUACCGCUUGGACCCGAAAGAUGGUGAACUAUGCCUGGAUAGGGUGAAGCCAGAGGAAACUCUGGUGGAGGCUCGCAGCGGUUCUGACGUGCAAAUCGAUCGUCAAAUCUGGGCAUGGGGGCGAAAGACUAAUCGAACCAUCUAGUAGCUGGUUACCGCCGAAGUUCCCUCAGGAUAGCAGUGUUGUUUUCAGUUUUAUGAGG